This 1422-nucleotide ribosomal RNA is filed under the name Enterococcus durans. RNAcentral describes it as "bacterial SSU rRNA". It matches the Rfam family "Bacterial small subunit ribosomal RNA". Lineage: Bacteria; Bacillati; Bacillota; Bacilli; Lactobacillales; Enterococcaceae. The record is from RNAcentral.
GCAGUCGAACGAACUUCCGUUAUUGAUUAUGACGUGCUUGCACUGAAUGAGAUUUUAACACGAAGUGAGUGGCGGACGGGUGAGUAACACGUGGGUAACCUGCCCAGAAGCAGGGGAUAACACCUGGAAACAGAUGCUAAUACCGUAUAACAGAGAAAACCGCCUGGUUUUCUUUUAAAAGAUGGCUCUGCUAUCACUUCUGGAUGGACCCGCGGCGCAUUAGCUAGUUGGUGAGGUAACGGCUCACCAAGGCGAUGAUGCGUAGCCGACCUGAGAGGGUAAUCGGCCACAUUGGGACUGAGACACGGCCCAGACUCCUACGGGAGGCAGCAGUAGGGAAUCUUCCACAAUGGACGCAAGUCUGAUGGAGCAACGCCGCGUGAGUGAAGAAGGGUUUCGGCUCGUAAAGCUCUGUUGUUAAAGAAGAACGUGGGUGAGAGUAACUGUUCACCCAGUGACGGUAUUUAACCAGAAAGCCACGGCUAACUACGUGCCAGCAGCCGCGGUAAUACGUAGGUGGCAAGCGUUAUCCGGAUUUAUUGGGCGUAAAGCGAGCGCAGGCGGUCUUUUAAGUCUAAUGUGAAAGCCUUCGGCUCAACCGAAGAAGUGCAUUGGAAACUGGGAGACUUGAGUGCAGAAGAGGACAGUGGAACUCCAUGUGUAGCGGUGAAAUGCGUAGAUAUAUGGAAGAACACCAGUGGCGAAGGCGGCUGUCUGGUCUGUAACUGACGCUGAGGCUCGAAAGCAUGGGUAGCGAACAGGAUUAGAUACCCUGGUAGUCCAUGCCGUAAACGAUGAUUACUAAGUGUUGGAGGGUUUCCGCCCUUCAGUGCUGCAGCUAACGCAUUAAGUAAUCCGCCUGGGGAGUACGACCGCAAGGUUGAAACUCAAAAGAAUUGACGGGGGCCCGCACAAGCGGUGGAGCAUGUGGUUUAAUUCGAAGCUACGCGAAGAACCUUACCAGGUCUUGACAUCUUCUGCCAACCUAAGAGAUUAGGCGUUCCCUUCGGGGACAGAAUGACAGGUGGUGCAUGGUUGUCGUCAGCUCGUGUCGUGAGAUGUUGGGUUAAGUCCCGCAACGAGCGCAACCCUUAUUACUAGUUGCCAGCAUUCAGUUGGGCACUCUAGUGAGACUGCCGGUGACAAACCGGAGGAAGGUGGGGACGACGUCAAAUCAUCAUGCCCCUUAUGACCUGGGCUACACACGUGCUACAAUGGAUGGUACAACGAGUCGCGAAACCGCGAGGUUUAGCUAAUCUCUUAAAACCAUUCUCAGUUCGGACUGUAGGCUGCAACUCGCCUACACGAAGUCGGAAUCGCUAGUAAUCGCGGAUCAGCAUGCCGCGGUGAAUACGUUCCCGGGCCUUGUACACACCGCCCGUCACACCAUGAGAGUUUGUAACACCCAAAGCCGGUGGGGUA